This 622-nucleotide long non-coding RNA is filed under the name Physcomitrium patens. RNAcentral's name for it is "long non-coding RNA (PPAT_LNC014065)". Lineage: Eukaryota; Viridiplantae; Streptophyta; Bryopsida; Funariales; Funariaceae. The record is from RNAcentral.
CUAUUUGGAACGGAGGACUGGUCGGCAAGAGGGGACAACUUGCCGUCGGAGCUUGUGCGCCAACCACGAACCUUGAACCUGGUUUUGUCUCUGGGAAUUUUAAGAGAACUCUUCCAAAAACAUAGCAUCGACUUGACAAACUUUAUUGAAAGGUAGUAAAGCACUUAACAUUUGAGAUUGGAGAACGCAUAUUUCUGCACAUGUUUUUAAAUUUAUUUAUCAGUUUCUGAGUCCUGGUAUAUUCUGAGCUAUCGCGAGAAGACAUGGCUGUUUAAUCUUGAAUGAAGCAUGAAAGAGUUUGUUCUCGACAAGUUCUUGUGCUACUUUAUGAGGUAGAUUUCGCUGCUGGAAUGUAUUCUAUAAAAUGAACAGAUACUUCAGAAGGUGCUGAUGCUAGCCUCUGAUCAUUUCUCUAAAACAGAUCGCCUAAGCCUGCGAUAUCUCCUCAUCACAGAAAAAUGUACAACUGAACAGUUUGCAAUGAGAUUUUGAAUUAUCUGCUGGUUGUGUAGGGACGACUCACCUCUUCAAAUCCAUGACUUCAUUCUUUUGAAAUCUUCCUCACAAAAUUUCCUCCUCCAUCAAGUCCUUGAGAAGCAAUAAAGAAGCUCGGUGCUGGCUU